AUCGGGCAUGAAAUAAAGCUGCCUGUCUGGUGUUGCUGGAUGUGGCACCGAUGUUUUAUUUUGGUCGACCCCAAAGGAUUUCCACAUGGCUCGGUUAGGGCUACCCAUGUCUGUGGUGACAUCAAGCACAUGUAGCCCUAUGGAUGCUGCCCUCUGUAUUACCUCAAUAAUGAUUGGCCUGUACUCUGCUCCAUUGGUUGAAUUGCCAGUGUAAUGAUAUGCCACUACUUGCUUCCACCGUGUUGUGUUUCCAGCCAACAUAAACACACAAGCAUGUGUUGCCACUCCUGUGUGACCUGGUAAAGUCACAUCACCAUACAGUUUGCCUGUAAUCAUGUCCAACUCCACACUUGGUGUGAUUGCCAUUUCAUCCAGGGUCAGCACACACUCCCUUUCAAGUGUUCUUAUUCCUGGCAGGGGAAUCUGCAAUUCCUGCAGAGUUUUGUAACCGGUUGGUCCGGCAGCAAAGCGAAUUUUUAAAGCCUUCUUAAUUGUCUCAUUGCUCCAUUUCAUCCCCUUUGUGAUCUGUUUGACUGGCUGCUGGUUCCCUGGUAUGCUGACUGGCUGCUGGCUGACUGGGUGGUGUCCGCUCUCCCUGUCUCUCCUCACUAGCCAUGUCCUCUUCACCCUCACUUUCCCUUCUCUCAGUCUCCUCAUCCCUUCUUCCCUCAAUCUUUGAGACUAAUGUCCCGGGGUGCAUCGUGGUGCAGGGGCCCUCCUCUUUUUGACCACAGGGCGAUGCACAAAGAUGGUGGGAAUAGCAUCUGCUCUCAGCCUAGUCUUGCCCUUUUUGGUCUUGACAAACUGGUCUGCAUCAAAAUGUGCCUGCAGAGUGACAGAGUCACACACACACACUAUUUGUAUUAAACCAAACAUUAAGCUUC
Trematomus bernacchii (emerald rockcod) is the source of this 884-nucleotide long non-coding RNA. RefSeq lists it as uncharacterized. The record is from RefSeq and is a predicted model, not a curated record. The transcript is spliced from 4 exons. Lineage: Eukaryota; Metazoa; Chordata; Actinopteri; Perciformes; Nototheniidae.